AGUGAACGCUGGCGGUAGGCCUAACACAUGCAAGUCGAACGGCAGCACAGUAAGAGCUUGCUCUUACGGGUGGCGAGUGGCGGACGGGUGAGGAAUACAUCGGAAUCUACUUUUUCGUGGGGGAUCACGUAGGGAAACUUACGCUAAUACCGCAUACGACCUACGGGUGAAAGCAGGGGAUCUUCGGACCUUGCGCGAUUGAAUGAGCCGAUGUCGGAUUAGCUAGUUGGCGGGGUAAAGGCCCACCAAGGCGACGAUCCGUAGCUGGUCUGAGAGGAUGAUCAGCCACACUGGAGCUGAGACACGGUCCAGGCUCCUACGGGAGGCACCAGUGGGGAAUAUUGGACAAUGGGCGCAAGCCUGAUCCAGCCAUACCGCGUGGGUGAAGAAGGCCUUCGGGUUGUAAAGCCCUUUUGUUGGGAAAGAAAAGCAGCAGGUUAAUACCCCGCUGUUCUGACGGUACCCAAAGAAUAAGCACCGGCUAACUUCGUG
Molecule: ribosomal RNA, 492 nt
Filed under: uncultured bacterium
Lineage: Bacteria
Description: partial 16S ribosomal RNA
Rfam family: Bacterial small subunit ribosomal RNA
Source: RNAcentral